CAUGGGAGGCGAUGUGCUGGUGUCACCUGCAUGCCAUGGAGGGCUGAGGCAUGGGGAGGUGUAGAAGUGAACCAAGAGACUCCUUCCUGAAUAAAGUCAGCGGGACCUUCACAUUCCUUCAGGAGCUUCCUUUGAGUCUCUGUGUCCGGCUGGUCCCUCUUCAGAGCCUUAGCAAACAAGAAUGAACCUGAAAGUGCUCGUGGAGACGAUAUUAGAUAAACUUUUCCCCAGAAGCUAUCAGACUGAAUGGCUCAGUUUGCAACACCAAGGAACACCUUGCUCUUCAUCUCUGCCUGCCAAGAUGUCACUGCCUUGCUCUUUGCUCUCUCAGACUGCCAUGGUUUUCUCCAGCCCAUUUAGACUCUCCCUGCUCAAAGAUUAACCCUGCACUCUCAGGCUGGAUAACUUACUUCAGCUGAGGAGAAAGAGCAGUACAUGACAGAUAAGAAAGUAAUUGCACCCUGAGGAAGCAUGAGGAGUGUCUGCAUCAUAUGCACUUGCUUUACAGAACAGGAACUACUUAUUCAAAGGGAGCAGCCUUUGAAAUCCAAAACAGGGUGCACAGAAAAGCCACCAUGGCAAUAACCUCAUUAGAUUUAUCACGUGGCUUCUUGGCGCAGUUUCUAUCCUGUCCUGAAUUUAGUUUUCCACCAUCAGAGAUGGAAAUCAGAUAGUGUGUCUCACUGGCUUCCUGCACUAAAUGCAUUGUGGCCAGAUCUCAGGAUAAGGGCAGAGAAGCUGUGAAAAUCCACUGUGAGAAGCUUGAGAGUAAGGAAGAGGAGGGUUGGGAUGAAGCAUCUCAAGGUGAGGAAAUGAUUGGGUCCAAGAUGGGCUUUAGACCUGAUCUAGACUUGUUUCUCCAGAGACAUCUCCUGAGGCUUCCCAGAGGAAUCACACACUUUGUUUUCCAAGGGUUUUGAUGAUGUUUAACCUUCAAGCUUCACCAGAUGUGAUUCACUGGGUGCCCCUGAAAAUCAGAGGCACCCACUCAGCAGCUCAUGCUGAUGUCCUUAAGUCUCACUCUGGAA
Long non-coding RNA from Oxyura jamaicensis (ruddy duck), 1028 nucleotides. RefSeq lists it as uncharacterized. The record is from RefSeq and is a predicted model, not a curated record. The transcript is spliced from 3 exons. NCBI's taxonomy places the organism in Eukaryota, Metazoa, Chordata, Aves, Anseriformes, Anatidae.